This 402-nucleotide unclassified non-coding RNA is filed under the name soil metagenome. Its description in RNAcentral is "partial contains 5.8S ribosomal RNA, internal transcribed spacer 2, and large subunit ribosomal RNA". The stretch from base 1 to 121 matches the Rfam family "5.8S ribosomal RNA", at positions 35 to 154 of the family's 154-position model. The record is from RNAcentral.
GAUGAAGAACGCAGUGAAAUGCGAUAAGUAAUGUGAAUUGCAGAAUUCAGUGAAUCAUCGAAUCUUUGAACGCGCCUUGCACCCUUUGGCUAUUCCGAAGGGUAUGCCUGUUUGAGUAUCAUGAACACCUCAACUCUCAUGGUUUGCCAUGAUGAGCUUGGACUUUGGGGGUCUUGCUGGCCUGUGGUCAGCUCCUCUCAAAUGGAUUAGCUUGCCAGUGUUUGGUGGCAUCACAGGUGUGAUAACUAUCUACGCUUGUGGUUUUCCACCAGGUAACCUUCAGCAAUGGGGGUUCGCUGGGGCUCAUAAAUGUCUCUCCUCAGCGAGGACAGCUCUUUGAACGUUUGAUCUCAAAUCAGGUAGGACUACCCGCUGAACUUAAGCAUAUCAAUAAGCGGAGGA